RNAcentral lists this ribosomal RNA (278 nucleotides) under uncultured bacterium. RNAcentral's name for it is "partial 16S ribosomal RNA". It matches the Rfam family "Bacterial small subunit ribosomal RNA", at positions 506 to 784 of the family's 1533-position model. The record is from RNAcentral.
UGCCAGCCGCCGCGGUAAUACGAAGGGGGUUAGCGUUGUUCGGAAUUACUGGGCGUAAAGCGCGCGUAGGCGGCUAUUUAAGUCAGAUGUGAAAGUCCACGGCUCAACCGUGGAAGUGCAUUUGAAACUGGAUAGCUUGAGUAUUGGAGGGGUAGUGGAAUUCCCGGUGUAGAGGUGAAAUUCGUAGAUAUCGGGAGGAAUACCGGUGGCGAAGGCGACUAUCUGGCCAAAUACUGACGCUGAGAUGCGAAAGCGUGGGGAGCAAACAGGAUUAGAUA